AGGCGGGUAGCUCAGUUAGUUAGAGCGUCUGGUUUACACUCAGAAGGUCACCGGAGCGAAGCCGGUCUCGCCUA
Molecule: transfer RNA, 74 nt
Filed under: archaeon
Lineage: Archaea
Also listed under: 1 other name
Description: tRNA-Val
Rfam family: tRNA
About the family: Transfer RNA (tRNA) molecules are approximately 80 nucleotides in length. Their secondary structure includes four short double-helical elements and three loops (D, anti-codon, and T loops).
Source: RNAcentral